This 1408-nucleotide long non-coding RNA is filed under the name Medicago truncatula (barrel medic). Its description in RNAcentral is "lncRNA gene21954". Lineage: Eukaryota; Viridiplantae; Streptophyta; Magnoliopsida; Fabales; Fabaceae. The record is from RNAcentral.
UCAUAUAUUGCAUUUAUUUAUUAAAGUAGUUUUUUGGUUUGUUACAUUUACUAAAGUAGUUUAAUAUAAUUCCGUUAUGAUGUUGUUUUAAUGAUAUUAUUUAAGAACAAAGGUAAGAAUACAUGUGAAUAAUAUCAUAAUACACUUUUGAGAUUGUCAUGAAAAUGAAAAGGUCAUACAAACAUAAAUCAAGUUUUGAAGUAAAAUGUAAAAGUUUUUACAUUAUUAUAUAAAAAUCAAACCUUAUGCUUAGAGUUGACAUAGUUAUUGUUGCACAUAAUAGUUACACUUUUGUGUGUCGACAAACAUCACAAAUCUUUUUUCCUGACGAGACAACACAAAUUUGCGAUGCACUUCAAAAAACGAGGUAAAGGCACCUUUGGACAAUCAUCAUCAGAAACACAUCCAAGGACAACUGCAAGGUCAUAUAAGAAAAAAGAAUGUUACUUCAAGGUGAUAUAAUAUUGUUUAUAAGAUAUAUAGAAAAUUUAUAACUUGUUUGAAAAAUCACAAACCCAUAUUUGCUUCAACAAGAAAUAUGAAAUUAGAGAAGAUCAAAGCAUAAACAAACAUGAGAAUGUGAACCAUAUUUUUCUUCAAUUGUAUGUAAUAAACACAUUUUCUUCAAUGCUUUAUAAAGAAAUUAUCAUGCUUUGUUAACUUUAGUUAAAUAGUUUUUAGCAUUUAAUGAAGGGUUGGGUAGGUAAGUGGUUUGAGCUAAAGAAUAAGAAGUUGAAUUCUGCUCAUCAUCCAAACAGUAUCGUUCAUUCUCAAAGUAAAUGUCCAAAAUGCCCCUGCGCAUGUUAAUAUGCAUAUCGUGACUUAUGUUGCGCUAGUUAUAAGAGGAACGCAACUUAAGUCACACAGCGUGACUUAAGUCAUGCUACAUGCUAUUAUUAGCCCAGGCAGAACCUCAUCAUGCAUCAUUUUCAAACACAACAUUAAUGUGGUCAAAAAACGUGUAAAAUAGUGUUAAAAACGUGUGGAUUGAAUGUUAAAAAACAGACCACAGACCAAAAAACGUUUGUUCUUCAGUUCUGCACCGGCCAACUGGCGUGAGUUAACUCACGCUCAGAAUACACUAGCGCAAGUAAGUCACGCUACGUGACUUAACUUAGGUAAAAAAAAAUACACUAGCGCAUACACGCAUUUUGGACAUUUACUUUGGGAAUGAGCAAUACUGUUUGGCUAAUAAGCAGAAUUCUAAGAAGUUGGAGGCCCUUGGUUCAAACCCAUACAAAUGAGAAAAACUAAUCUAGCCAUUAAUUACUAACAUUUGCCAUUCGAUACAUUUUUAGCAUUUCGAAUUUGCAACACUCAAUUCAUAUAAUUGAAAUCAAUAUUUUUUUAUACAGCGAAAUCAAUGUUUUUAAUAAAUAUGUCGUGUAUAAAUCCUUGUGAAUAUAGA